AUUGAACGCUGGCGGCAGGCCUAACACAUGCAAGUCGAACGGUAACAGGAAGAAGCUUGCUUCUUUGCUGACGAGUGGCGGACGGGUGAGUAAUGUCUGUGAAACUGCCUGAUGGAGGGGGAUAACUACUGGAAACGGUAGCUAAUACCGCAUAACUUCUCAAGACCAAAGAGGGGGACCUUCGGGCCUCUUGCCAUCCGCUUUGCCCAGAUGGGAUUAGCUAGUAGGUGGGGUAACGGCUCACCUAGGCGACGAUCCCUAGCUGGUCUGAGAGGAUGACCAGCCACACUGGAACUGAGACACGGUCCAGACUCCUACGGGAGGCAGCAGUGGGGAAUAUUGCACAAUGGGCGCAAGCCUGAUGCAGCCAUGCCGCGUGUAUGAAGAAGGCCUUCGGGUUGUAAAGUACUUUCAGCGGGGAGGAAGGGAGUAAAGUGAAUCCAUUUGCUCAUUGACGUUACCCGCAGAAGAAGCAACGGCUAACUCCGUG
RNAcentral lists this ribosomal RNA (490 nucleotides) under uncultured bacterium. Its description in RNAcentral is "partial 16S ribosomal RNA". It matches the Rfam family "Bacterial small subunit ribosomal RNA", at positions 30 to 507 of the family's 1533-position model. The record is from RNAcentral.